This 254-nucleotide long non-coding RNA is filed under the name Gossypium raimondii (Peruvian cotton). RNAcentral's name for it is "long non-coding RNA (GRAI_LNC007370)". Lineage: Eukaryota; Viridiplantae; Streptophyta; Magnoliopsida; Malvales; Malvaceae. The record is from RNAcentral.
AAAAAUGUUUGACACGUCUCAAUUCCACCAAUUAUGUAACCUCAUUAACCAACAUAAAACUUUAAGCAAUCACCCAAAUCGGUACUAAUGAACCAUCUAAAGUAAUUAAUCUAAAAUUCAGAAAAUAACAAUAAAACAAUGCUAAUAAUUACCCAAUUCCACACCUAACAAUUGAGCAAACAAAUCCUCUAAUGAAAAUGUUUUGGAUAACUGAAGAAAGAAAAAAAUAAGGCACAAAGGAAAAAGAACAAAAA